RNAcentral lists this ribosomal RNA (497 nucleotides) under uncultured bacterium. Its description in RNAcentral is "partial 16S ribosomal RNA". It matches the Rfam family "Bacterial small subunit ribosomal RNA", at positions 28 to 507 of the family's 1533-position model. The record is from RNAcentral.
GACGAACGCUGGCGGCGUGCCUAAUACAUGCAAGUUGAGCGCUGAAGGUUGGUACUUGUACCAACUGGAUGAGCAGCGAACGGGUGAGUAACGCGUGGGGAAUCUGCCUUUGAGCGGGGGACAACAUUUGGAAACGAAUGCUAAUACCGCAUAAAAACUUUAAACACAAGUUUUAAGUUUGAAAGAUGCAAUUGCAUCACUCAAAGAUGAUCCCGCGUUGUAUUAGCUAGUUGGUGAGGUAAAGGCUCACCAAGGCGAUGAUACAUAGCCGACCUGAGAGGGUGAUCGGCCACAUUGGGACGGAGACACGGCCCAAACUCCUACGGGAGGCAGCAGUAGGGAAGCUUCGGCAAUGGACGAAAGUCUGACCGAGCAACGCCGCGUGAGUGAAGAAGGUUUUCGGAUCGUAAAACUCUGUUGGUAGAGAAGAACGUUGGUGAGAGUGGAAAGCUCAUCAAGUGACGGUAACUACCCAGAAAGGGACGGCUAACUACGUG